GACAGCAGCAGCCGCGGUAAUACGGAGGGAGCUAGCGUUGUUCGGAAUUACUGGGCGUAAAGCGUGCGUAGGUGGUUGUUUAAGUCUGCUGUGAAAGCCCUGGGCUCAACCUGGGAAUUGCAGUGGAUACUGGGCGACUAGAGUAAGGUAGAGGAUAGUGGAAUUUCCGGUGUAGCAGUGAAAUGCGUAGAGAUCGGAAGGAACAUCUGUGGCGAAGGCGACUAUCUGGGCCAUUACUGACACUGAGGCACGAAAGCGUGGGGAGCAAACAGGAUUAGAUACCCGCGUAGUCCCUGUCUCUUAUAC
RNAcentral lists this ribosomal RNA (306 nucleotides) under uncultured bacterium. RNAcentral describes it as "partial 16S ribosomal RNA". It matches the Rfam family "Bacterial small subunit ribosomal RNA", at positions 507 to 807 of the family's 1533-position model. The record is from RNAcentral.